RNAcentral lists this unclassified non-coding RNA (347 nucleotides) under uncultured fungus. RNAcentral describes it as "partial contains 5.8S ribosomal RNA and internal transcribed spacer 2". The stretch from base 2 to 125 matches the Rfam family "5.8S ribosomal RNA", at positions 23 to 154 of the family's 154-position model. Lineage: Eukaryota; Fungi. The record is from RNAcentral.
AGGCUCUCGCAACGAUGAAGAACGCAGCGAAAUGCGAUACGUAAUGUGAAUUGCAGAAUUCCGUGAAUCAUCGAAUCUUUGAACGCAUAUUGCACCUCUCCGGAGGUAUGCCUGUUUGAGAAUCUAUAGUAUCUUUUCCCCAGUUUUGGGGGAGAUUUGGGGCGUCUCUUUUGGGUGCCCUUAAAGCUAUAGCUUGACACUGGACGAGUGCGAGAGCGUAUGUAUUUGAAACUCUUUGAGUGCCCUAUACGAAACUCUGGCGCGAGCUCGGACUGGGCCAAGUUCACCACGGAGGUUUGAAAAAGAACCCGAACCAUGGUCUCAAAUCAGGUAGGAGGACCCGCUGA